Molecule: ribosomal RNA, 310 nt
Filed under: uncultured eukaryote
Lineage: Eukaryota
Description: partial 18S ribosomal RNA
Rfam family: Eukaryotic small subunit ribosomal RNA
Source: RNAcentral
CCCUUAGAUGUUCUGGGCGGCCCGCGCACUACAAUGGCGCUUUCAGCGAGUUCCUAUGUUGAAUUUUCCUGGGUAUUCUUGGAAGCGGCGUCUUGACUUGGGAUAGAUCCUUGUAAUUGUUGGUUUUGAACGAGGAAUUCCUUGUAAUCGCGGUUGAUCAGCUAGCGUUGAAUACGUCCCUGCCCUUUGUACACACCGCCCGUCGCUCCUACCGAUGAAUCGUCCGGUGAAGUUCACAGAGUGGCGGUUCGUGGAGUUGCUCGCGAAGUGAAAUGGACCUCACGAUUUAGAGGAAGGAGAAGUCGUAACA